UAUAUAUAUAUAUAUAUUUACAAUUAUUGUAACCCUACGAACUUUUAAUUUCCGGGAACCGGGAAAUAUUUGGCUUAAAACAUGUGCGGUACCAAUUAAUUAGAACAAGCGGUUAAUUUAAUUAACCAAAACAUUCCGUCUAUAACCAUUUUAUUAUAUAAAUUUAUAUUAGUAUUAUUCCAACAAUUAUGCAAUUCUUGCUUAUUUUAUACGUUAUUAUAAAAUUUAAAUAUAAUAUAUAAAUAUAUAAUCUUCUCUUCGCAAAUUGUAAACCUCUAUAUAUUACUAAACCAUACCAUUUUAUUUAUAUUAGUUUUUUUUAACCCACGGCUAUUUCCCGCAAAGAAAAACAAUUCUUUAUAACGGGCAAUUGUGUUAUAUUUAAUCGAAAAUAAAAUUCCAAGACGUGUUAUAAAUACGUUAUCCGGGCUUGGAUUAUAUUUAUUAUAUAAAAAUACCAAACAGCAAAUUUAAUAUUUCGUCGCCGUUGUUAAAAUAGGUAAUUAAUAUAAUAUAUAUUUAUAUCCAAUUUUAUAAUAAUAGUAAAAUACCAAUAUAAAAACCCUUAUAAAAUCGCCCGUAACCUAAUAUUGUUUUUCGUAUAUAAUAAUUAUAAUUCUUUUACUUUUUUAUAUUAAUUUCAAAUUUCGAGAAUUAUUCGCAAACCAAAUAAUAUAUUACCGUACUUUUCCAUUACAAAUAAUUUUAAGCGCCAGCAUUUUUAUAAUAUCCGGACAAUUAUUAUAUUUUCCACCAAAUUUGUAAUUAUUCUUUUUCCAAUUAUUAUUAUUAGCCCGAUAUAAUUUCGCAAUAUUUUAUAUUCGCACGCGUUAUAUUAAAGGUCCCAUUUUAUCCAAACCCCUGUUACUGUAAAAAACGCGGGGAAAUAUGCAAAUAUUAUCCAAAUUUAUAAAAUAUUUUUUAAAUAUUUCCUAAAAUUGCAAUCUACCAAUUUUACUUGUUUAUUUAUUUUGCGUUUCGUUUAUAAAAAUUAAAAAACCAUGUUAUAUAUUCGUACCAUUUAGGUGAUUUAUAUUAAAUUAUUCCAACUGUUUGACAAAAAACAAUAAAUAUUACCUAUACCUGGAUAUUUAAAUAUGGAAUUUAAUUUUAUUAACCAUUUUUGCCAAGCGUAUAUAUUUAUUAUAUUUAUAAAUACAAUAGGGCUAGGGAAAAAUAGCAAUUUAUAAAAAGAUAAAAAAUGUUUUUUAAAGUUUUACGGCUUUUACAAAAUAUAUUUUAUUCCUGCAUAUUAUAUAUUAUAAUUGCUAUUUUCAUCCAAAUUAAUUUAUUGGAAAAAAACUAUAUUUUCAAGGAAAUAUUAAACCAAACUUUUUCAGAAAUAUUACCAAAUAUAUAUGCGUUUAUAAUAUACCAAAUUCAUAAUAAUAUAUUCCCCGGUUAAAUUAAUUUAUUAAUGGGUCUUAAAUUAUAAAAUAACGAUCCUAAUAUUAACAUUAUUUUCCGCACGCAACGUUGUUAUUUGCAAAUAAUUAACAUUUUAUAAAUUAUUCUUAGCGCGUUUUAUUAAUAGAAUUACAAUAUAUUAGAAAUUAUAAUACCGCAAUUGGUUUUAUUUUUUUACGGUUACAAAAUAAAAAACUGCGGCCCAAAUAUAUUUUACUUAAUUUGGUUAUUGCGUCCAAAAAUUAUAAAUCGGCCGUUGCGAACGGAAAUUUAAAGAUUAACCUUUCUAAGAUGUAUUCCGGCGGGGAACGGAUUUGAACCGGCAAAUUGGGUAAUAAAAUAUAUUAAUAAGAAUUUCGUUAUAAAUAUUAAAAAUAACCGCAAUCUCGCAAGCGAUUUAAGAAAAUAUUUUAUAAAUUGCGCCAUUUUGGAGCCUAUCGCGAAUACGUUGCGUAAAACUUUGGAAAACUUUGCACAAUUUUGCAAUAAUAGCAAAUAUAAUAUAGUACUAACAAACAAUAAUAUUAUAUAUUACGCGUAUUUAUUAUUUGAAAAUAAUUGGAAAAACGGGGAAAACGAAAUGUUAUUUUUAUUUAAUUUCGACGGCCCUAACUUCUUUUAUUUGGGUAUAUAAAAGUUAAUCGGCGACAAAUUACAUGUUUUUCACCAAGAAACUAUAUAAUCCGAAGAUAUAUUAUAUUAGGUGGAUAUUAGAAUGUCGCGAAAUAUAUAAAAAAGGGAAUAGCUGACCAAAUGGAUUAAAUAUUAACAAAAUAAUAAAUAUUAAAGGAAAAUUAGCCUACGGAAUACAUAAAACUUCAAUAGAAGAAAUAUUAUAAAUUUCAACAAAAUUAAUAUAAUUGGACCCCAGAAACAAUAAUAAAAAGCUGGCAAAUCUUUAUUUGAAAUAGGGCGCAAUUAAAAAAUAUUGCAUUAUUUUUUUCGCCGCCAGUAAGUAAUAAUAAUAACCUAAAAUUAACGCGCAAAAUAGGGAAUGUAUUAUAUUGCAAUUGAAGUUUUUAUAUAUAACCGACCCGCCAUUACCACCAAUUUUUACGCCAGUAAUUUUAUAUUGUUUUAAUUAAUUAUUUUACUAUAGUCCCAAACAAUAAAUUCAAAAAUAAUCCUAAUAACAACCGUCGUUAUAUUAAUAUAUUUAUACAAACCCGUAAAAUAAAACCGCAAAAGAAAUAAACGUUAAUUGGGAAAAAGAAAUAUAUUUGGUAAUAAGCAAUUUUCUUUUUCGGAAUGGGAUUAUUAACAUUAUAUUUCUUUUGCAAACUGGGGUGUGGGCAAAUAGUUUAAAAAUUCUAUCGGGCCUAUUUUCGACCUCGAAUAAAUCGGAUAUUUAAGUUUUUUAAAUAAGUCCAACGCCCAUUUUUAUAAACGUUUUAAAAUUUAAUAAAAGAAUUCGAUAUUUAUAAUUAUAAGAUUAUUAUUAUAUUUUUCAGCGAUAUUAUUUUAAAAGCGUUUGUUUCCUGGCGUUCAAUUACCUCAAAAUCAAAAUCUUUUAUAAAAGUUCCAAUUAUUCGCAUAUUUGCGGCGGCCUCGUAAAAGCCGCAAUUAUUUUUAACCUAUUUUAUUAAUUUAUUUAUAAAACCCUAAUUUAUAAUAUAAAUAUUAAAAAACGGCAAAUAUAUAUAAUUAGUAUAAUUAGUAAUUAUAUCCCGGCCACCAUUUUGUGUUUAAUAUUAAUAAUUAAUAUAUAUAUAAAAUUUAAUAAUAAAACGAAAACCGACGUUUUUUGAACCACGUCCUUCUUAUCGAAAGAAAUUGGAAUAUCCAAUACAAAUAUUAAUAUAAAACGAAAAUAAAAUUCGCCCAUUCGACGAAUUUUAUUUAAAUAAAACUUAUUU
RNAcentral lists this small RNA (3263 nucleotides) under Pyricularia oryzae. RNAcentral's name for it is "Magnaporthe oryzae sRNA M_BR32_EuGene_00052401". Lineage: Eukaryota; Fungi; Ascomycota; Sordariomycetes; Magnaporthales; Pyriculariaceae. The record is from RNAcentral.